GUGCUCAUUUUAGCAGCAUAUAUACUAAAAUUUUAAUGAUACAGAGAAGAUUAACAUGGCUCCUAUACAAAAGAAAACUGCAGACUGAGGGAAAGUGUAUGUAAACUAUUUAU
Small nuclear RNA from Heterocephalus glaber (naked mole-rat), 113 nucleotides. The record is from Ensembl. Lineage: Eukaryota; Metazoa; Chordata; Mammalia; Rodentia; Bathyergidae.